UUGCAAUGAGAUUGUACUAAGGUAGCGCAAUAAGUAGUCUCUUAAUUGGAGGAUAGUAUGAAUGGUUUGACGUGGAGAUGCUGUUUCUAAUGUAGUUAAAAUGAAAUUUCUUUUUAAGUGAAAAAGCUUAAAUUUUUGUAAAAGAUGAGAAGACCCUAUCGAACUUAAUUAUGGCUAGGCAGUUUAUGCUAAAUAGAUUAUAUUUGGUUAGUUUCCUUAGCUUUAAAUUUUACUGGGGCAGUAGAGGGUUAUAUAAUACCUUUCUUUUAUAUUGAAGAGCCUUUUAGAUGGAAAAGAGCAAAAGUUACCGUAGGGAUAACAGCGUAAUUUGGUUCCCGAAAGAUCUUAUUAAGGGAAGAGUUUGCGACCUCGAUGUUGGAUUAUA
This 385-nucleotide ribosomal RNA is filed under the name Saxidomus purpurata. RNAcentral describes it as "Saxidomus purpuratus partial 16S ribosomal RNA". It matches the Rfam family "Bacterial large subunit ribosomal RNA", at positions 1931 to 2541 of the family's 2925-position model. The record is from RNAcentral. Lineage: Eukaryota; Metazoa; Mollusca; Bivalvia; Venerida; Veneridae.